GAUGAACGCUAGCUACAGGCUUAACACAUGCAAGUCGAGGGGAAACGGCAUUAAGUGCUUGCACUUUUUGGACGUCGACCGGCGCACGGGUGAGUAACGCGUAUCCAACCUUCCCAUGACUAAGGGAUAACCUGCCGAAAGGCAGACUAAUACCUUAUGGUCUUCACUGACGGCAUCAGAUGUGAAGUAAAGAUUUAUCGGUUAUGGAUGGGGAUGCGCCUGAUUAGCUUGUUGGCGGGGUAACGGCCCACCAAGGCAACGAUCAGUAGGGGUUCUGAGAGGAAGGUCCCCCACAUUGGAACUGAGACACGGUCCAAACUCCUACGGGAGGCAGCAGUGAGGAAUAUUGGUCAAUGGGCGAGAGCCUGAACCAGCCAAGUAGCGUGCAGGAUGACGGCCCUAUGGGUUGUAAACUGCUUUUGUAUGGGGAUAAAGUCAAUCACGUGUGAUUGUUUGCAGGUACCAUACGAAUAAGGACCGGCUAAUUCCGUG
RNAcentral lists this ribosomal RNA (492 nucleotides) under uncultured bacterium. Its description in RNAcentral is "partial 16S ribosomal RNA". It matches the Rfam family "Bacterial small subunit ribosomal RNA", at positions 28 to 507 of the family's 1533-position model. The record is from RNAcentral.